UCUGUACUUCUCAGUUCCUAAGUAGGCCGUGAACGUGCUUGUCGAAGGAUAAUCGGCUUAUUCUCGAGAUUGUUUGUGCGUUUUUUCGAAAUUAAUUAGAAAUAUAUUGUUUGGUUAAAACCGAAACAAGUGUAUCGUUACCUACAACAAUUAUUCUGUUCCAGUUGAUUUAUUCGGUACACAGAGUAUUUUGAAGCUGAGAGGUGCAAAGUACGCACUGUUUAUCAAUUCAAAUGAAGAAAGUCCUUAUGAAGGUUGAUUGGAGCGUUAGGCGGCCAUUCUUGGGGAGAAAUCCUAAACAGAUAUAAUCACUAGAGAACAAAGAAAUAUCCACAGGCAUGUUUGGUUCACGUAAAAAAAUGACAACAAGGGAUGGGUUUGCGGAUUUUAAAGAAAAUAUGCGUCGAAUUCUUCGGAGGUUUGACCAAAGUCGGAGUUCAUCUUUGAGCUGCAAUAAAGUCCUACAGUUUUCAUCACAGAAAUAUCAAUAUGUAAACAAAGGUGGAUUUAUUGAACGAACUUAAAAAUACUUCCAAUUUUAACGCAAUAUUUAUGGAUUGAUUUAUCCUUCUUGUUAUAGUUGAAUAUACAUCUUAUUUACUUCAUAUAAUAAUAAUUGUUCUUGUAUUCACUAAACAAUUAGACAAUUAUCAUUUAAAAUAUUUUAUUUAUUGAAUAACUUACGUAAUCAAAAUCAAUUACAAACAAUAUAUGUUUAUCUCAAGGUUUAUGUAUUAACGCAAAGUACAAAAUCUUUUUUGUUCUUUACUUACCUUUUAUUAAUAUUUGCGUUAAUUAUGGAUGUAUUUGUUUUUAAAAAUCAAUCCAGAUUAGAACCAGGCUCUUUCACCAAAUUUAAUAUGUUUAGGAAUAAGCAUGGUAAUUAUUUAUUUAAUUUUUUUAUUAGACAAAGAACAUCUUUAAAAAAAUCAAUUAAUCCACUUUUGGUAGUCGCACUGUCCACAAUAUUUUUUAAUCUUUGCGUUAAUUAUGAAAGUAUUUGUUUUUAACAACCAACCCAGAUUAGAACCAGGCUCCUUCACCAAAUUUAAUAUGUUUAGGAAUAAGCAUGGUAAUUAUUUAUUUAAUCUUUUAUUAGACAAAGAACAUCUUUAAAAAAAUCAAUUAAUCCACUUUUGGUAGUCGCACUGUCCACAAUAUUUUUUAAUCUUUGCGUUAAUUAUGAAAGUAUUUGUUUUUAACAACCAACCCAGAUUAGAACCAGGCUCCUUCACCAAAUUUAAUAUGUUUAGGAAUAAGCAUGGUAAUUAUUUAUUUAAUCUUUUAUUAGACAAAGAACAUCUUUAAAAAAAUCAAUUAAUCCACUUUUGGUAGUCGCACUGUCCACAAUAUUUUUUAAUCUUUGCGUUAAUUAUGAAAGUAUUUGUUUUUAACAACCAACCCAGAUUAGAACCAGGCUCCUUCACCAAAUUUAAUAUGUUUAGGAAUAAGCAUGGUAAUUAUUUAUUUAAUCUUUUAUUAGACAAAGAACAUCUUUAAAAAAAUCAAUUAAUCCACUUUUGGUAGUCGCACUGUCCACAAUAUUUUUUAAUCUUUGCGUUAAUUAUGAAAGUAUUUGUUUUUAACAACCAACCCAGAUUAGAACCAGGCUCCUUCACCAAAUUUAAUAUGUUUAGGAAUAAGCAUGGUAAUUAUUUAUUUAAUCUUUUAUUAGACAAAGAACAUCUUUAAAAAAAUCAAUUAAUCCACUUUUGGUAGUCGCACUGUCCACAAUAUUUUUUAAUCUUUGCGUUAAUUAUGAAAGUAUUUGUUUUUAACAACCAACCCAGAUUAGAACCAGGCUCCUUCACCAAAUUUAAUAUGUUUAGGAAUAAGCAUGGUAAUUAUUUAUUUAAUCUUUUAUUAGACAAAGAACAUCUUUAAAAAAAUCAAUUAAUCCACUUUUGGUAGUCGCACUGUCCACAAUAUUUUUUAAUCUUUGCGUUAAUUAUGAAAGUAUUUGUUUUUAACAACCAACCCAGAUUAGAACCAGGCUCCUUCACCAAAUUUAAUAUGUUUAGGAAUAAGCAUGGUAAUUAUUUAUUUAAUCUUUUAUUAGACAAAGAACAUCUUUAAAAAAAUCAAUUAAUCCACUUUUGGUAGUCGCACUGUCCACAAUAUUUUUUAAUCUUUGCGUUAAUUAUGAAAGUAUUUGUUUUUAACAACCAACCCAGAUUAGAACCAGGCUCCUUCACCAAAUUUAAUAUGUUUAGGAAUAAGCAUGGUAAUUAUUUAUUUAAUCUUUUAUUAGACAAAGAACAUCUUUAAAAAAAUCAAUUAAUCCACUUUUGGUAGUCGCACUGUCCACAAUAUUUUUUAAUCUUUGCGUUAAUUAUGAAAGUAUUUGUUUUUAACAACCAACCCAGAUUAGAACCAGGCUCCUUCACCAAAUUUAAUAUGUUUAGGAAUAAGCAUGGUAAUUAUUUAUUUAAUCUUUUAUUAGACAAAGAACAUCUUUAAAAAAAUCAAUUAAUCCACUUUUGGUAGUCGCACUGUCCACAAUAUUUUUUAAUCUUUGCGUUAAUUAUGAAAGUAUUUGUUUUUAACAACCAACCCAGAUUAGAACCAGGCUCCUUCACCAAAUUUAAUAUGUUUAGGAAUAAGCAUGGUAAUUAUUUAUUUAAUCUUUUAUUAGACAAAGAACAUCUUUAAAAAAAUCAAUUAAUCCACUUUUGGUAGUCGCACUGUCCACAAUAUUUUUUAAUCUUUGCGUUAAUUAUGAAAGUAUUUGUUUUUAACAACCAACCCAGAUUAGAACCAGGCUCCUUCACCAAAUUUAAUAUGUUUAGGAAUAAGCAUGGUAAUUAUUUAUUUAAUCUUUUAUUAGACAAAGAACAUCUUUAAAAAAAUCAAUUAAUCCACUUUUGGUAGUCGCACUGUCCACAAUAUUUUUUAAUCUUUGCGUUAAUUAUGAAAGUAUUUGUUUUUAACAACCAACCCAGAUUAGAACCAGGCUCCUUCACCAAAUUUAAUAUGUUUAGGAAUAAGCAUGGUAAUUAUUUAUUUAAUCUUUUAUUAGACAAAGAACAUCUUUAAAAAAAUCAAUUAAUCCACUUUUGGUAGUCGCACUGUCCACAAUAUUUUUUAAUCUUUGCGUUAAUUAUGAAAGUAUUUGUUUUUAACAACCAACCCAGAUUAGAACCAGGCUCCUUCACCAAAUUUAAUAUGUUUAGGAAUAAGCAUGGUAAUUAUUUAUUUAAUCUUUUAUUAGACAAAGAACAUCUUUAAAAAAAUCAAUUAAUCCACUUUUGGUAGUCGCACUGUCCACAAUAUUUUUUAAUCUUUGCGUUAAUUAUGAAAGUAUUUGUUUUUAACAACCAACCCAGAUUAGAACCAGGCUCCUUCACCAAAUUUAAUAUGUUUAGGAAUAAGCAUGGUAAUUAUUUAUUUAAUCUUUUAUUAGACAAAGAACAUCUUUAAAAAAAUCAAUUAAUCCACUUUUGGUAGUCGCACUGUCCACAAUAUUUUUUAAUCUUUGCGUUAAUUAUGAAAGUAUUUGUUUUUAACAACCAACCCAGAUUAGAACCAGGCUCCUUCACCAAAUUUAAUAUGUUUAGGAAUAAGCAUGGUAAUUAUUUAUUUAAUCUUUUAUUAGACAAAGAACAUCUUUAAAAAAA
Agrilus planipennis (emerald ash borer) is the source of this 3617-nucleotide long non-coding RNA. RefSeq lists it as uncharacterized. The transcript is spliced from 3 exons. Lineage: Eukaryota; Metazoa; Arthropoda; Insecta; Coleoptera; Buprestidae. The record is from RefSeq and is a predicted model, not a curated record.